RNAcentral lists this ribosomal RNA (1222 nucleotides) under uncultured bacterium. RNAcentral's name for it is "bacterial SSU rRNA". It matches the Rfam family "Bacterial small subunit ribosomal RNA", at positions 28 to 1271 of the family's 1533-position model. The record is from RNAcentral.
GACGAACGCUGGCGGCGCGCCUAACACAUGCAAGUCGAACGAGCGAGAGAGAGCUUGCUUUCUCGAGCGAGUGGCGAACGGGUGAGUAACGCGUGAGGAACCUGCCUCAAAGAGGGGGACAACAGUUGGAAACGACUGCUAAUACCGCAUAAGCCCACGGGUCGGCAUCGACCAGAGGGAAAAGGAGCAAUCCGCUUUGAGAUGGCCUCGCGUCCGAUUAGCUGGUUGGUGAGGUAACGGCCCACCAAGGCGACGAUCGGUAGCCGGACUGAGAGGUUGAACGGCCACAUUGGGACUGAGACACGGCCCAGACUCCUACGGGAGGCAGCAGUGGGGAAUAUUGCACAAUGGGGGAAACCCUGAUGCAGCGACGCCGCGUGGAGGAAGAAGGUCUUCGGAUUGUAAACUCCUGUUGUUGAGGAAGAUAAUGACGGUACUCAACAAGGAAGUGACGGCUAACUACGUGCCAGCAGCCGCGGUAAAACGUAGGUCACAAGCGUUGUCCGGAAUUACUGGGUGUAAAGGGAGCGCAGGCGGGAAGACAAGUUGGAAGUGAAAUCCAUGGGCUCAACCCAUGAACUGCUUUCAAAACUGUUUUUCUUGAGUAGUGCAGAGGUAGGCGGAAUUCCCGGUGUAGCGGUGGAAUGCGUAGAUAUCGGGAGGAACACCAGUGGCGAAGGCGGCCUACUGGGCACCAACUGACGCUGAGGCUCGAAAGUGUGGGUAGCAAACAGGAUUAGAUACCCUGGUAGUCCACACCGUAAACGAUGAUUACUAGGUGUUGGAGGAUUGACCCCUUCAGUGCCGCAGUUAACACAAUAAGUAAUCCACCUGGGGAGUACGACCGCAAGGUUGAAACUCAAAGGAAUUGACGGGGGCCCGCACAAGCAGUGGAGUAUGUGGUUUAAUUCGACGCAACGCGAAGAACCUUACCAAGUCUUGACAUCCCUUGACGAUGCUGGAAACAGUAUUUCUCUUCGGAGCAAGGAGACAGGUGGUGCAUGGUUGUCGUCAGCUCGUGUCGUGAGAUGUUGGGUUAAGUCCCGCAACGAGCGCAACCCUUAUGGUCAGUUACUACGCAAGAGGACUCUGGCCAGACUGCCGUUGACAAAACGGAGGAAGGUGGGGAUGACGUCAAAUCAUCAUGCCCUUUAUGACUUGGGCUACACACGUACUACAAUGGCGUUAAACAAAGAGAAGCAAGACCGCGAGGUGGAGCCAG